UACAAGUUCAUCUUCGAGGACAAGCAAAUCGAACAAUCCUUUUCGCGGUUGCCAACCUACAUGUGCUACACGCUCAACUGGAAGGGCAACAACGAAAUGAAGGCCUUCCACGAGUACCCACCUCUUUUUGAUUUCAGCUUGUUCAUUACGUGGAAAUUGGACAAGUUGGUGGCGUUGGACCAAUUCACAGCCGAUGUCGGCUUGCACCACGUGGACAGCUUGGACGCGGGAGCCAAACACAAAAUCAUAAUGGAACCUAAUAGUAAUUACGAAUACACCGUC
Ornithodoros turicata is the source of this 282-nucleotide long non-coding RNA. RefSeq lists it as uncharacterized. NCBI's taxonomy places the organism in Eukaryota, Metazoa, Arthropoda, Arachnida, Ixodida, Argasidae. The transcript has 3 exons. The record is from RefSeq and is a predicted model, not a curated record.